CAAUAGCGUAUAUUAAAGUUGUUGCAGUUAAAAAGCUCGUAGUUGGAUUUCUGGGAGGGUGCCAAUGUCCGCUGAGGCGUGUGCAGCGGCGCCCUUCCAUCCUUCUGUUAACGUUUCAUGGUAUUCAGUUACUGGUUUCGGGCUCAGAUAUUUUACCUUGAGAAAAUUAGAGUGUUUCAGGCAGGCUUGCGCCGGAAUACAUUAGCAUGGAAUAAUAGAAUAGGACUUUAGUCUCUUUUGUUGGUUUGAGGGGCUGAAGUAAUGAUUAAUAGGGAUAGUUGGGGGCAUUAGUAUUUAAUUGUCAGAGGUGAAAUUCUCGGAUUUGUUAAAGACUAACUUAUGCGAAAGCAUUUGCCAAGGAUGUUUUCAUUA
This 372-nucleotide ribosomal RNA is filed under the name uncultured eukaryote. Its description in RNAcentral is "partial 18S ribosomal RNA". It matches the Rfam family "Eukaryotic small subunit ribosomal RNA", at positions 592 to 975 of the family's 1831-position model. The record is from RNAcentral.